AUGCGACGGGGUUUCGUCCUUUGUAACCAUGACUUGUUGGAAGGUUUAGACCGUAGCAAAGAUUCAAUAAAGCAUCACUCGAGAUAUUUUCUGCUCUUCAAUUGGAUAUAUCGUUGUACCGAUCAAGCUCACCCUUUCAUCCUUGUUUUCUUGCUUUCUUCACCAGGUAUACUGUCUUUUCCAGCAAAGGCAGCUGAGUUGACUGUUUUUUGUGUGCUCUGUUACUGUUGUCAUCAUCUUUACGUUCUUGUCAGGCUUUCCAAUCCAAAAAAGGGAAAAAUGAUCACCAUGUGUGGAAUAUCUUCAUCAAAUCUGUUGUUCCAGAAAAGAAAGAUCCAAGAACCUUUCUGA
Molecule: ribosomal RNA, 351 nt
Filed under: Triticum aestivum (bread wheat)
Lineage: Eukaryota; Viridiplantae; Streptophyta; Magnoliopsida; Poales; Poaceae
Description: partial small subunit ribosomal RNA
Source: RNAcentral